Molecule: ribosomal RNA, 467 nt
Filed under: uncultured bacterium
Lineage: Bacteria
Description: partial 16S ribosomal RNA
Rfam family: Bacterial small subunit ribosomal RNA
Source: RNAcentral
GACGAACGCUGGCGGCGUGCUUAACACAUGCAAGUCGAACGGAAAGGCCCUGCUUUUGUGGGGUGCUCGAGUGGCGAACGGGUGAGUAACACGUGAGUAACCUGCCCUUGACUUUGGGAUAACUUCAGGAAACUGGGGCUAAUACCGGAUAUGAGCUCCUGCUGCAUGGUGGGGGUUGGAAAGUUUCGGCGGUUGGGGAUGGACUCGCGGCUUAUCAGCUUGUUGGUGGGGUAGUGGCUUACCAAGGCUUUGACGGGUAGCCGGCCUGAGAGGGUGACCGGCCAAAUGGGGACUGAGAUACGGCCCAGACUCCUACGGGAGGCAGCAGUGGGGAAUAUUGCACAAUGGGCGGAAGCCUGAUGCAGCAACGCCGCGUGCGGGAUGACGGCCUUCGGGUUGUAAACCGCUUUCGCCUGUGACGAAGCGUGAGUGACGGUAAUGGGUAAAGAAGCACCGGCUAACUACGU